UACGUAGUGGGCUAGCGUUGUUCGGAAUUACUGGGCGUAAAGCGCACGUAGGCGGACUGGAAAGUCAGGGGUGAAAUCCCGGGGCUCAACCCCGGAACUGCCUUUGAAACUCCCAGUCUUGAGGUCGAGAGAGGUGAGUGGAAUUCCGAGUGUAGAGGUGAAAUUCGUAGAUAUUCGGAGGAACACCAGUGGCGAAGGCGGCUCACUGGCUCGAUAUUGACGCUGAGGUGCGAAAGCGUGGGGAGCAAACAGG
RNAcentral lists this ribosomal RNA (253 nucleotides) under uncultured bacterium. Its description in RNAcentral is "partial 16S ribosomal RNA". It matches the Rfam family "Bacterial small subunit ribosomal RNA", at positions 524 to 776 of the family's 1533-position model. The record is from RNAcentral.